RNAcentral lists this transfer RNA (70 nucleotides) under Loxodonta africana (African savanna elephant). It matches the Rfam family "tRNA". Rfam says of the family: Transfer RNA (tRNA) molecules are approximately 80 nucleotides in length. Their secondary structure includes four short double-helical elements and three loops (D, anti-codon, and T loops). Lineage: Eukaryota; Metazoa; Chordata; Mammalia; Proboscidea; Elephantidae. The record is from Rfam by way of RNAcentral.
GCGGUGAUGGCUCAGUGGGAGAAUUCUCGCCUCCCAGGCGGGUACCUGGGUUCAAUUCCCAGCCAGUGCA